Brassica napus (rape) is the source of this 1190-nucleotide long non-coding RNA. RefSeq lists it as uncharacterized. The transcript has 3 exons. The record is from RefSeq and is a predicted model, not a curated record. Lineage: Eukaryota; Viridiplantae; Streptophyta; Magnoliopsida; Brassicales; Brassicaceae.
AAUAUUUUAGUCAUUUUAUUAACAAGUCCACCUGGAUGCAGAUGAAGUUAAAAAUGAAAAGCAAACGAACAUAGUUGCAUUCAGAUGAUUCAUCUGGAUGCAUAGACGAAAUGAAAAAACGAACAACAUCCAGAUGGAUCAUCUAGAUAAGACACUCAGAUGGACCAUCUGGAUGCAUCUUUGAGAUGUACUAACGAACAUGACCUAUGUCUUUGCCAGAAAACGGCCAAGCCUCAAAAGCUUUCAUCGCAACUAUCUGCAAAAGUCUGCGCUUCUUCCUCUAAACCUCUGCUGCCUCCAUGCCACUUCCGCCUGUACGGCCACCAUCGACAUCACAACAACCUCAAGUAAUGAACAAAACGCCGCCUCCUCCUCUGUUUCAUGAUUUUCUCCGCGUAGACCGUUAGGUAAAGAUAAGUUCCUUUGAGUAAUUUUACAAAACGCCCGACCGGACUAUGGCCUGUGAUAAGCUCAGAACAAGCUUCUUUGAUUUCAGUGGAAGGGUUGUGUUUACAGCACUUGAAGCAUUUGUGAAGAAGAUGCCGACUAAGUAAAGAAGAAGAGUUGAAGUUGUAUAGCUACAAAGUUGUAGUAGAUGAGCUUGACUCUGCUGAGAAAUUUCUCAGGGCCCUUGUGGAGUACCAUUUGCAUUUCAAGAGGCUGAAGCAAUGCUUUAUAGAGAGACGGUUGAAGAUGAAGUGGUUCAUCUUAGAAACUCCUUCUCAAUGCUUGAGGAAGCUUGCACGGAGCUUAAGUCAAGCAGGUUAUUCCUGAAGCUUUUAAAAGUCGUCCUUAGGACUGGGAACAAGAUGAAUGUAGGAACCAUACUUGGUGGCGCAAAAGCCUUCAAGCUCUCCAAUGUUAAGUGCACAUAUGAAAAAACAACUCUAUUCCACUUUGUCGUGAAAGAGAUAUCUAGGUCAAAGGGAAUCAGGGUUUAAGACAGCAUCAUGGCAUGCACCAGAGAUUAAAAAAAAAAACAGAACAGGGAGAAAGGGGAGGAAUACAAAAAAUAUUAUAACUUACUUCCCUUCGGAAAAUCAAUACUUGAUCGUUUAUGGCGGUUUGUAAAACAAGAAGAUAUAUAAAUUCGUUGGUGAGUAUACGAGUUCAAUGGAAUGGGGGAAAGUUAUUAUGACAAUAUGACAUGUGGUAUCAACAUUUAUUGUUGGGCAAAAUAUCAUUUUAAA